Molecule: non-coding RNA, 71 nt
Organism: Phrynosoma platyrhinos (Desert horned lizard)
Lineage: Eukaryota; Metazoa; Chordata; Lepidosauria; Squamata; Phrynosomatidae
Source: the annotation of a GenBank genome assembly
AGAUAAAUGGCAUAGUGGUUUGAGUGUUAGACAAUGACUCUGGAGAUCAGGGUUCGAUUCCUUUUCGGCCA